GUGGGGGAGAAAAAUACAUAUGAAAAUCCAAACUAAAUUGAAAUUGAGAGAUGAAUUUAAUUGAAUUGAACAAUACAUGCUGGUCGUAGGAAGUGGGGACUGGGGAUAUAAAAGAGAGAGCAACAAUUAGUCAGUAACAUUAAGUAGAUUUUAGAGGAGUACUAAGAUUUUAGGUUUCCUCCUUCCAACUUCAGCUAAACAGUGGACUACAAAUGCUAUUGAUUAAAACAAUAU
RNAcentral lists this unclassified non-coding RNA (234 nucleotides) under Hevea brasiliensis (rubber tree). The record is from RNAcentral. Lineage: Eukaryota; Viridiplantae; Streptophyta; Magnoliopsida; Malpighiales; Euphorbiaceae.